RNAcentral lists this ribosomal RNA (799 nucleotides) under uncultured archaeon. RNAcentral's name for it is "bacterial SSU rRNA". It matches the Rfam family "Archaeal small subunit ribosomal RNA", at positions 104 to 903 of the family's 1478-position model. The record is from RNAcentral.
CCAACCUACCCUAUGGACGGGGAUAACCUCGGGAAACUGAGGAUAAACCCCGAUAGAUCAUUAUACCUGGAACGGUUUAUGGUCCAAAUGAUUCGUCGCCGUAGGAUGGGACUGCGGCCUAUCAGCUUGUUGGUGAGGUAAUGGCCCACCAAGGCUAUUACAGGUACGGGCUCUGAGAGGAGAAGCCCGGAGAUGGGUACUGAGACACGGACCCAGGCCCUAUGGGGCGCAGCAGGCGAGAAAACUUUGCAAUGUGCGCAAGCACGACAAGGUUAAUCCGAGUGUUUCCUGCUAAAGGAAUCUUUUGCUAGUCCUAGAAACACUAGCGAAUAAGGGGUGGGCAAGUUCUGGUGUCAGCCGCCGCGGUAAAACCAGCACCUCAAGUGGUCAGGAGGAUUAUUGGGCCUAAAGCAUCCGUAGCCUGCUCUGUAAGUUCUCCGGUUAAAUCCAUUAGCUUAACUGAUGGGCCGCCGGAAAAACUGCAUAGCUAGGGAGUGGGAGAGGUAGACGGUACUCGGUAGGAAGGGGUAAAAUCCUUUGAUCUAUUGAUGACCACCUGUGGCGAAGGCGGUCUACCAGAACACGUUCGACGGUGAGGGAUGAAAGCUGGGGGAGCAAACCGGAUUAGAUACCCGGGUAGUCCCAGCUGUAAACGAUGCAGACUCGGUGAUGCCCUGGCUUGUGGCCAGUGCAGUGCCGCAGGGAAGCCGUUAAGUUUGCCGCCUGGGAAGUACGUACGCAAGUAUGAAACUUAAAGGAAUUGGCGGGGGAGCACCACAAGGGGUGAAGCCUGCGGUUC